UCCUGGCUCAGAGUGAACGCUGGCGGCAGGCCUAAUACAUGCAAGUCGAACGGCAGCACAGCAGAGCUUGCUCUGUGGGUGGCGAGUGGCGGACGGGUGAGGAAUACAUGGGAAUCUGCCCAGUCGUGGGGGAUAACGUAGGGAAACUUACGCUAAUACCGCAUGCGCCCUUCGGGGGAAAGCCGGGGACCUUCGGGCCUGGCGCGAUUGGAUGAGCCCAUGUCGGAUUAGCUAGUUGGCGGGGUAAUGGCCCACCAAGGCGACGAUCCGUAGCUGGUCUGAGAGGAUGAUCAGCCACACUGGAACUGAGACACGGUCCAGACUCCUACGGGAGGCAGCAGUAGGGAAUAUUGGACAAUGGGCGCAAGCCUGAUCCAGCCAUGCCGCGUGAGUGAAGAAGGCCCUCGGGUUGUAAAGCUCUUUUGUCCGGAAAGAAAAGCGCCGGGUUAAUACCCUAGUGUCCUGACGGUACCGGAAGAAUAAGCACCGGCUAACUUCGUG
Molecule: ribosomal RNA, 501 nt
Filed under: uncultured bacterium
Lineage: Bacteria
Description: bacterial SSU rRNA
Rfam family: Bacterial small subunit ribosomal RNA
Source: RNAcentral